AUUGAACGCUGGCGGCAUGCCUUACACAUGCAAGUCGAACGGUAACGGGCCUUCGGGUGCCGACGAGUGGCGAACGGGUGAGUAAUGCAUCGGAACGUACCUUUCAGUGGGGGAUAACGUAGCGAAAGUUACGCUAAUACCGCAUAUUCUGUGAGCAGGAAAGCAGGGGAUCGCAAGACCUUGCGCUGAUUGAGCGGCCGAUGUCAGAUUAGCUAGUUGGUGAGGUAAAGGCUCACCAAGCCAACGAUCUGUAGCUGGUCUGAGAGGACGACCAGCCACACUGGAACUGAGACACGGUCCAGACUCCUACGGGAGGCAGCAGUGGGGAAUUUUGGACAAUGGGCGCAAGCCUGAUCCAGCCAUUCCGCGUGCAGGAUGAAGGCCUUCGGGUUGUAACUGCUUUUGUACGGAACGAAACGGUCUGCCCUAAUACGGCGGGCUAAUGACGGUACCGUAAGAAUAAGCACCGGCUAACUACGUGCCAGCAGCCGAC
This 493-nucleotide ribosomal RNA is filed under the name uncultured bacterium. RNAcentral's name for it is "bacterial SSU rRNA". It matches the Rfam family "Bacterial small subunit ribosomal RNA", at positions 30 to 518 of the family's 1533-position model. The record is from RNAcentral.